This is a small nucleolar RNA of Rattus norvegicus (Norway rat), 133 nucleotides long. Lineage: Eukaryota; Metazoa; Chordata; Mammalia; Rodentia; Muridae. The record is from Ensembl.
UUGAAAACUUAUCAAAACUUCAGCUGCUUCUAGAUAGCUUCUGUGAUCACAAUGGAGAUCUGGAGUAACCCAGUUCCUUGAGAGUUACAGUUCUGUUUGCUGUAACUGACGCAAAUUUUGGUAAAAGACAGUU